This 773-nucleotide long non-coding RNA is filed under the name Ananas comosus (pineapple). RNAcentral describes it as "long non-coding RNA (ACOM_LNC025693)". The record is from RNAcentral. Lineage: Eukaryota; Viridiplantae; Streptophyta; Magnoliopsida; Poales; Bromeliaceae.
UAACUUUUACUUGAGUACUUUAUCAUUUAAAGUAUAUUACUUUUGUAUUUUGUGAUUUCGUUUUUCUCUUUUCGUUAUCUUUUUUAUUAUUUUUUUCAUUAAGUUAGUGAGAAAGUUAAAAUAUCAAAGUACUAAAGUAAAAAUUCGGUAAAUCAUAGAGUACUAAAGUGAAUACUCGAUAAACGAAAUGGCAGGAUGGGUGUUUGAAGUUUUUUCUAUAUGUUUUAGCAAAAAAUUAAUAGAGAUGCUGACGGAUGGAAAAAAACGAAAUGGUAGAGUACUAAAAUAAUACACUUUAAAUAAUAUGAUACUAAAGUGAGAAAAUGCUAAACCAGUGGGGGUAUUCUAAGUUGUUCCUUCUUUAAAGUUGUUGUUGGAGUACAAAACUUAAGGUGAAAAGCAGUUUUUCUACAUAAAAAAUAGGAAUAUUAUAAUAGGUCUCCCUGAAAGCUGUUCUUAUGAACUAUUGCAUAUAAAAUAUGAAGAUAUUUGAUCGAUAAAUAGGCAUUACUUAAAAUUAUUACAUAUAUCUAAUAAUAUAUUAAUAACAUCAAAUUAAUUAAUUUGAAAAAAAAUACAUAAUAUUUUAAUCCAACUUUUUCUUUACCUGUUAGUAUCAAGUACUUCUCGAUACUGAAUAAGAACUCAGAGACUUAAAAAACAAAAUUUGAAAGUGUUUUAGCAAAACAAACUUUGCCGAAAGUGAAGAAAGAUGAAGUUGUUUCCGACCAUAAAAGCUCACUUUCGUUAUUAGGUUCACUAUGAAUAAAAUU